RNAcentral lists this ribosomal RNA (490 nucleotides) under uncultured bacterium. Its description in RNAcentral is "partial 16S ribosomal RNA". It matches the Rfam family "Bacterial small subunit ribosomal RNA", at positions 30 to 507 of the family's 1533-position model. The record is from RNAcentral.
AUUGAACGCUGGCGGCAGGCCUAACACAUGCAAGUCGAACGGUAACAGGAGGAAGCUUGCUUCUUUGCUGACGAGUGGCGGACGGGUGAGUAAUGUCUGGGAAACUGCCUGAUGGAGGGGGAUAACUACUGGAAACGGUAGCUAAUACCGCAUAACGUCGCAAGACCAAAGAGGGGGACCUUCGGGCCUCUUGCCAUCGGAUGUGCCCAGAUGGGAUUAGCUAGUAGGUGGGGUAACGGCUCACCUAGGCGACGAUCCCUAGCUGGUCUGAGAGGAUGACCAGCCACACUGGAACUGAGACACGGUCCAGACUCCUACGGGAGGCAGCAGUGGGGAAUAUUGCACAAUGGGCGCAAGCCUGAUGCAGCCAUGCCGCGUGUAUGAAUAAGGCCUUCGGGUUGUAAAGUACUUUCAGCGGGGAGGAAGGGAGUAAAGUUAAUACCUUUGCUCAUUGACGUUACCCGCAGAAGAAGCACCGGCUAACUCCGUG